Molecule: long non-coding RNA, 329 nt
Filed under: Pan troglodytes (chimpanzee)
Lineage: Eukaryota; Metazoa; Chordata; Mammalia; Primates; Hominidae
Description: long non-coding RNA NONPTRT014074
Source: RNAcentral
GUUCUCCAGUUGGUCUGUGUGUACUUCAAACGACUAUAUCCUUUUUAACUCAUUAGUACUGGGCAGAAAGGGGACAGGUCCCUGGUAAAGCCCCACCUUCUUCAAACCUGAAGACUGGGGGCUGGGCUGUCAGUUCUGUGGACCAGAGUGAGAACUUACAGUGCUUUUUCCAGGCCUGCCUAUGGCCACCCAUGAACCAGUCAGCAUGCACUUCCUCCCCUCUUUAGCCCAUUAAAACCCUGGACUCAGCCAGACUCAGGCAGACAGUGGGACAACCUACCUAACAAUAUGACCUGUGAGUCUCCUCUCCACUGAGGGCUGUAGAGACA